This 491-nucleotide ribosomal RNA is filed under the name uncultured bacterium. RNAcentral describes it as "partial 16S ribosomal RNA". It matches the Rfam family "Bacterial small subunit ribosomal RNA", at positions 29 to 506 of the family's 1533-position model. The record is from RNAcentral.
AGUGAACGCUGGCGGUAGGCCUAACACAUGCAAGUCGAACGGCAGCACAGUAAGAGCUUGCUCUUACGGGUGGCGAGUGGCGGACGGGUGAGGAAUACAUCGGAAUCUACUUUUUCGUGGGGGAUAACGUAGGGAAACUUACGCUAAUACCGCAUACGACCUACGGGUGAAAGCAGGGGAUCUUCGGACCUUGCGCGAUUGAAUGAGCCGAUGUCGGAUUAGCUAGUUGGCGGGGUAAAGGCCCACCAAGGCGACGAUCCGUAGCUGGUCUGAGAGGAUGGUCCGCCACACUGGAACUGAGACACGGCCCAGACUCCUACGGGAGGCCGCAGGGGGGAAUAUUGGACAAUGGGCGCAAGCCUGAUCCAGCCAUACCGCGUGGGUGAAGAAGGCCUGCGGGUUGUAAAGCCCUUUUGUUGGGAAAGAAAAGCAGCAGGUUAAUACCCCGCUGUUCUGACGGUACCCAAAGAAUAAGCACCGGCUAACUUCGU